UUAGGUCCAGUCGUACAGAGAGGUUCCUAAGAUCUGGUUUCAUUCAACUCCCCUCCCCUUCCCUUAGUCAUCGCAUUCCUCCAGAAUCGACUCGCAGAGAGACACAGAGAGAGAAGAAGAAGAAUCGAAGAUGAUAUACAGAAAGUGGAGUCUGCUAACUGGCCCAACGUCUAUCGUCGGCGCGGUCGUCGGCGCCGUCGUCGUGGGACACCUUAUCUUCUCCCAAAGUGAUCCAGCCAUUAAGCCGAAGCCAAGAAACUCAGAGACACUGGCUUCAAGCAAGUAGGAAAAGAAAGUAGUAAGGGAUUUGGUUUCGGCUUUAUUUGAUGAUCUGAUCUUCAACUGGAUUGAGGGUUUCUCCAUGUAUUUUGUGUUAGUCCAAACUUUUGCAUUGGAGUUGGGCUUAAUGCUCAUCUCUCUCAAUAAGAUAUACUUCAAAUGAGUUGAUGACUUGAUAAUGCCUGCUUUUGCUUAGGCUGAUGUUCUUCAGUUUAUUGUAAUACUUAGUGGCUCUAUGACGUGGAUUGCUUGGCGGUUUAUAUCCCUCUUAUUCCUAUUAUUAUA
Long non-coding RNA from Ipomoea nil (Japanese morning glory), 564 nucleotides. RefSeq lists it as uncharacterized. The transcript is spliced from 2 exons. NCBI's taxonomy places the organism in Eukaryota, Viridiplantae, Streptophyta, Magnoliopsida, Solanales, Convolvulaceae. The record is from RefSeq and is a predicted model, not a curated record.